This is a long non-coding RNA of Cervus hanglu yarkandensis (Yarkand deer), 2010 nucleotides long. NCBI's taxonomy places the organism in Eukaryota, Metazoa, Chordata, Mammalia, Artiodactyla, Cervidae. The record is from Ensembl.
AAAAGGAUCACUGUGUAUCACACUUUUAAAUUCCAAAACACAAAUAAUGAAACAAGAUGCUAUGCUGAGACUCAGCGUGCCAGUCUCCCUGGUCUGGCAACUUCGAACUCAGGAAGAGGCCCCGUGGAAAGAGGAUUAGUUUAUACGGACCUUCCUGCUCUCUAAAAUCACCUUUGUUUAGCUGUAAUACCCUAGGGGCAAAAGCUGCGCCCAACGUGGGGCUCGAACCCACGACCCUGAGAUUAAGAGUCUCAUGCUCUACCGACUGAGCUAGCCGGGCUGAUGCAAAGAGGAAACUACAAUUCUCCUGAACUUCGCUGAACCUAAAACUGGUAGGCACACGCUCUGAAUCCCGCGCACACCGUCUCCCUCGGUUAGGGUGUGGGAGGUGCCGGGUUCCAAUCACAGACGAUUUCUCAUUUUCAAACUCUCAACCCCUUUCAGGAGAGGUAGCAUUAAGCCGAUCAGGAAGGCUUGAUGGCCUCGCCGCCGGGACAAGCCGGGAGACCUUCCCUCCCUGGAGGGUGGGGGUGGGGUGGGGGGAUGUGGACCCCUUGCUUGUGCAAAAAUUUGGAGCAGCUGCCCUUCCGGGAGAAGUGAGCACCACCCCCCAGUUCGGACCCCUACAUCAGGUUACAGAUUCGUGAGGGUUUCCUGCAGCCGAGCCCAGACCAGGAAGGACCCGGAGAAGCUCGAGGGUCACCCGGGACCGGCCGGCUGGGAGGAUCUGGCUGCGAUUCUCAGCCCGGGAUCCGAAGGCGGAGCCGCGGUCUCAGGCCUCCAAGGACAGACACCAGAAAUCGCUACAGCACCGGCUCGUUGGUCUAGGGACAUCGGCUAGUUUUCGGUUUGAAGACUCCGGAUCUCUGCGGAGUCCUGAGCAACGGAAUCGUUCCCGCCGGCCGCGAUCCGAUCGUCCGCGCUCGGUUCUGUUCUGCCAAGCGGCCGUCACUGCGCUGGGUCGCAGCAGGGGCGGCGGCCCUCGAGCCCUGGGCCUGGCCCUGGGGGAGGAGACCGAGGUGGCUCAGUCUCGGCUCUCGGGAGGCCAGACGGCCACUGGGCUGGGUGAUGAUCGGCCUGGGCGAUGAUGUGACUUGCUGCGUGUGUUUAUACUCUGGGUAAUAAACUCAAAUUUUAUGACCCAAGUAAAGGACAAGCCCACGUUUCAAUGUCUUUCCUAUUUGAGGGGCUGCCCAAAGGGUCUUCCACGACCCAGGGAAGGAAGGAAAGGCAGAGGAGACUGCGCGUGGGGCCGCAGACCACUAGUCUCCACGGGGUCCAGGGGGCCGUGCUCCAGACACGGGGUCUCCUCUCCCCCUAGAAGAACCGCGGUGUUUUCAUAGGUUUUAUUAUUAUUUUCUGAGGCCAACUGGUCCAGCCACUGAGAAGGCUUAUUACAGUUUCCAAGAGGAGGUGGCACGGCUCCGCGUGGGGAGGAGGGACGGGACGCACCAGCGUCGGAAGGGAGAAGAAAAUGAAGGCAAGAGACUUUCUCGUGGUUUCAGGGAAGGUGAAACAGGGAAGGCAGGGAAGACAGGCCGAAAUGGCUGGCUGAAAUAAGUUCAGUGGGCUCGGGGGUACAGGUGCUGUCCCUGGUUGUCUGUCUCCUGGCCUUGAGGUGAUUCUGCAGGUGGAUUGUGGCCCAGAGGGUGAGAGUUUGAUAAAAACAGGUGAUCGUCGGCUGUGGACCCUGGAUUGGUUGGUUUAUCUUUGAAAAAUGCCUGCUGACAGAGAAAUUGCUUGCUAUCUCGAACAAUUGACCAGAUCCAUGGGUCUGGAAGACCCCCUGGAGUAGGAAAUGGGAACCCACUCCAAUAUUCUUGCCUGGAAAAUUUCCAUGGGCAGAGGAGCCUGGCGAACUACAGUCCAUGCGGUCGCAAAGAGUCUGACAGGACUGCAAAACCGAGCACCAUUGACCAGGAGGAAGGUUCAAGAGGGAGGGGACAUAUUCACUUACGGCCGAUUCACGUUGAUGAAUGGCAGAAACCAACACAAUACUGUAAAUCAAUU